CACGUAGUUAGCCGGGGCUUCUUACUCAGGUACCGUCAUUUUCUUCCCUGCUGAUAGAGCUUUACAUACCGAAAUACUUCUUCACUCACGCGGCGUUGCUGCAUCAGGGUUUCCCCCAUUGUGCAAUAUCCCCCACUGCUGCCUCCCGUAGGAGUUUGGGCCGUGUCUCAGUCCCAAUGUGGCCGGUCACCCUCUCAGGUCGGCUACUGAUCGUCGCCUUGGUAGGCCGUUACCCCACCAACCAGCUAAUCAGACGCGGGUCCAUCUCAUACCACCGGAGUUUUUCACACGGGAUCAUGCAAUCCUGUGCGCUUAUGCGGUAUUAGCAGUCAUUUCUAACUGUUAUCCCCCUGUAUGAGGCAGGUUACCCACGCGUUACUCACCCGUCCGCCACUCAGUCAUUAAAUUCCAUCCGAAACUUCCUUCUAAUUGCUUCGUUCGACUUGCAUGUGUUAAGCACGCCACCAGCGUUCAUCCUGAGCCAGGAUCAAACUCU
This 496-nucleotide ribosomal RNA is filed under the name uncultured Lachnospiraceae bacterium. RNAcentral's name for it is "partial 16S ribosomal RNA". Lineage: Bacteria; Bacillati; Bacillota; Clostridia; Lachnospirales; Lachnospiraceae. The record is from RNAcentral.